AGAAUGAACGCUAGCGAUAUGCUUAACACAUGCAAGUUGAACGUUGUUUUCGAAUCAGAAUGAGAACAAAGUAGCGAACGGGUGCGUAACACGUGGGAAUCUGCCGAACAGUUUGGGCCAAAUCCCGAAUGAAUAAAAGCUAAAAAGCGCUGUUUGAUGAGCCCACGUAGUAUUAGGUAGUUGGUUAGGUAAAAGCUGACCAAGCCUACGAUGCUUAGCUGGUCUUUUCGGAUGAUCAGCCACACUGGGACUGAGACACGGCCCAGACUCCUAAGGGAGGCAGCAGUGGGGAAUCUUGGACAAUGGGCGAAAGCCUGAUCCGGCAAUAUGGCGUGAGUGAAGAAGGGCAACGCAGCUUGUAAAGCUCUUUCAUCGAGUGUGCGAUUGUGACAAGACUCGAAUAAGGAACGCCCCGGCUAACCUCCGCGCCAGCAGCCGC
This 439-nucleotide ribosomal RNA is filed under the name uncultured bacterium. RNAcentral's name for it is "SSU rRNA". It matches the Rfam family "Bacterial small subunit ribosomal RNA", at positions 26 to 518 of the family's 1533-position model. The record is from RNAcentral.